GUGCCAGCAGCCGCGGUAAUACGUAGGGUGCAAGCGUUGUCCGGAUUUACUGGGUUUAAAGGGUGCGCAGGCGGGCGACUCAGUCUGUGAUGAAAUGUCAGGGCUCAACCUUGGCGCUGUUGCGGAAACUGGUCGUCUUGAGAGCCGUCGAGGCAGCUGGAAUGAGUGGUGUAGCGGUGAAAUGCGUAGAGAUCACUCAGAACACCAAUUGCGAAGGCAGGUUGCUAGACGGUGUCUGACGCUCAGGCACGAAAGCGUGGGGAGCAAACAGGAUUAGAAACCCUCGUAGUCC
RNAcentral lists this ribosomal RNA (292 nucleotides) under uncultured bacterium. RNAcentral's name for it is "partial 16S ribosomal RNA". It matches the Rfam family "Bacterial small subunit ribosomal RNA", at positions 505 to 796 of the family's 1533-position model. The record is from RNAcentral.